AAACCUACGGGAGGCAGCAGUGAGGAAUAUUGGUCAAUGGGCGCGAGCCUGAACCAGCCAAGUCGCGUGAGGGAAGACGGUCCUAUGGAUUGUAAACCUCUUUUGUCGGGGAGCAAAAGACGCCACGCGUGGCGUUCCGAGAGUACCCGAAGAAAAAGCAUCGGCUAACUACGUGCCAGCAGCCGCGGUAAUACAUAGGGGGCAAGCGUUAUCCGGAAUUACUGGGUGUAAAGGGAGCGUAGACGGUUAAGUAAGUCUGGAGUGAAAGGCCGGGGCCCAACCCCGGGACUGCUCUGCAAACUAUU
Molecule: ribosomal RNA, 305 nt
Filed under: uncultured bacterium
Lineage: Bacteria
Description: bacterial SSU rRNA
Rfam family: Bacterial small subunit ribosomal RNA
Source: RNAcentral